CAGUCGCCGCGGGAAUACGAAGGGGGCUAGCGUUGCUCGGAAUGACUGGGCGUAAAGGGCGCGUAGGCGGCUGUUACAGUCAGACGUGAAAUUCCUGGGCUCAACCUGGGGGCUGCGUUUGAUACGUGAUGGCUUGCGUUCGGAAGAGGGUCGUGGAAUUCCCAGUGUAGAGGUGAAAUUCGUAGAUAUUGGGAAGAACACCGGUGGCGAAGGCGGCGACCUGGUCCGAUACUGACGCUGAGGCGCGAAAGCGUGGGGAGCAAACAGGAUUAGAUACCCCUGUAGUCCCUGUCUCUUAUAC
Molecule: ribosomal RNA, 301 nt
Filed under: uncultured bacterium
Lineage: Bacteria
Description: partial 16S ribosomal RNA
Rfam family: Bacterial small subunit ribosomal RNA
Source: RNAcentral